Molecule: unclassified non-coding RNA, 386 nt
Filed under: uncultured bacterium
Lineage: Bacteria
Description: contains 16S-23S intergenic spacer region
Rfam family: 5.8S ribosomal RNA (bases 1-127)
Source: RNAcentral
GCAUCGAUGAAGAACGCAGCGAAAUGCGAUACUUGGUGUGAAUUGCAGAAUCCCGUGAACCAUCGAGUCUUUGAACGCAAGUUGCGCCCCAAGCCUUCUGGCCGAGGGCACGUCUGCCUGGGUGUCACAAAUCGUCGUCCCCCCUCCAAUCCUCUCGAGGAUAUACAGAGGGACGGAAGCUGGUCUCCCGUGUGUUACCGCACGCGGUUGGCCAAAAUCCGAGCCAAGGACGCCGAGAGCGUCUCGACAUGCGGUGGUGAAAACAAAGCCUCUUCAUAUCGUCGGGUCGCUCUUGUCCGGAAGCUCUAGAUGACCCCGAGUCCUCAACGCGACCCCAGGUCAGGCGGGAUCACCCGCUGAGUUUAAGCAUAUCAAUAAGCGGAGGA